Molecule: long non-coding RNA, 756 nt
Organism: Cebus imitator (Panamanian white-faced capuchin)
Lineage: Eukaryota; Metazoa; Chordata; Mammalia; Primates; Cebidae
Exons: 3
Source: RefSeq, a predicted model, not a curated record
GGGAGAAACAACGCAUUUUAUCAUAGGUCUGGACAGCUACAUGCGCAAGAUGCUACUGUAGGGAUUGGUUUUGGCCAGAUGUGCAAGAGAGAUGCAUAGAGAGGAAGAAAUGCAUACACGUGUGCGGAUUUUGGCAUGUGUACAAGUAGCCUCGAGGAUUUUCUUUGGGUCUACAGUCAAAAUGGAUUUUCAAGAGGAAGCUGUCUGAACACACACCUCUUCCCUGUGCUACAUACCGUCCCAUCUCCGCCAGCCAGGUUUUCAGGAAAGUGAUCAGCACUUGCUUCAGCUCUGGCUAGAGCUCUUUGGCCAAUGUGAUGGGCAGAAAACUGGAAUGAGGACAGAAAAGCACCUCGGAGGCUUGAAGAGUCAAGUCUCCCACCACCUUGCUGUAGGUUUGUUGAAUACUUCUGAGCGUAGGAACAUUUUUUCUUAACAGACAAGUCAGGAGCUGCUAAGAUAAACCGUAGCAGUAAGCUCGAGCCAGGUUUUAAGUUUACCAUUGAUCGGCCACCGAGUGCUUGCUAUGUGCCGUGCAUUGUGCUAAGCACCAUCUCAUUUAAUAGUUACAGCAAUCCUGUGAGGGCUCCAAGUUUGCCUCUGGGUGGAAGGGGAAGGUGGACUAGAACUCAUACACGCUGCCCCCUGGUGAAGAAAUGCACCCUGAGGCCAGAAAAUAGCAUAAACCCAUCUGGCAGCCGCAGCCCAGCAGUGUGAAGAUCAAAGUCACGUAUAAGGAAUCUGAGGCUCAGAGAG